Monomorium pharaonis (pharaoh ant) is the source of this 3093-nucleotide long non-coding RNA. RefSeq lists it as uncharacterized. NCBI's taxonomy places the organism in Eukaryota, Metazoa, Arthropoda, Insecta, Hymenoptera, Formicidae. The record is from RefSeq and is a predicted model, not a curated record. The transcript is spliced from 2 exons.
AAAAUAAAAUUUUUUACACUCGAACACAUGGAAAUUGCAAUAAAAAUGUGGCGUUUGCGUUUAUUAUUUGAUACCGACAUCUAUCUACACAGUAUUGGAAACCGAAUUUUGCUUGAAAUCCUGCGUCUUUCAAUCCCCGGGCUCAUCCAAUCUUCUGCUCGGCGAAAUCCGUGAUCUGAAAAGCGCAACACGGACGAAAGAGAGAGAGACGAAGAGGAGCGCUGAGGCUGCACCCUCGUAAAGUAACGAAAACGUCAAAGUGUUACCGUGCUGCAUAAUUUCCGAUGAGUUACGAGACACGCGCCCAUACUACGGUUCGCUGGCCCGUUGCAUUUGGCAUAUAAAGUAGAAAUUAAUAUGACGCGAGUCCCGAUGAAAUUUCGAAGAAAAAUUCGCAUCCGGACGCAAAGGGAGAUCGAAAAAGGCGGACGACCGCGCGUCAUUAUUAUCUCCCCGAGACCAAAUCACCUUGCACUCGACAACGACAAAAAACUGCAUGCCUGUAUGCGUGUGGGUAAAAGAGGGCGGGAACGUAUAAAUAUCGUUUUACCGUAUCUCCGUAGCAAUUAGCGCCGCUAUCGCGGCAUUUCGGUAUAAAAAGUUGGGUGGAAUGAAGACACCGAUCGAGUCAUUAUCGCACACGUCGCGCAAUCGUAACGAGAGACGUGCUCGAGUUAACGCAGGUAGAUUAUUCUACCAGUAAGUGGACUAUACUUUGCUGUCGAGAUCUUCGUCAUGCAACACGAUUUUAUUCAAGGAAACCUUUUUUCUACUCAAGACAGAGAAAAAAAUACUCUCCUGUAUGCGAAUUGCGUAUCUGUUCGUAAAUAAGAAUUCCGUCGCCUCGCGCGAGUCCUGCUCCUCCACCCGAUCUCGACUUGGCUUCCGUUACCACACCGACAGGACCUCUUCUGCGUUCUCCCGACGAUUACCAUCUGUAACGGCGUAUUUCGGGAUCCCCGUGUCACGGGGUCCUGACAAAUUAGCGUCCUUAACGAAACGCUCCCGUCGCGUCUCAGAGAUCUCAUCUCGCCGCGCGGAGUUUCCCGUUUCGCGAGAGUCAUGCAUUUUAAUGACAUACCGUGAAGAACUUCAACUUUACAAACACGCUAAAAAAGGGAAGAUACAAACUCGCAAACUUAACUCUUGACUCGUGGAACAGCCUCUGUGCCCCGCCGAUCGAUUUCCAUUCAUUUGUUCGCUAGUUAUUUGAGAGCACUCAGUUCGAUUGAGAAAACAGAGAUUUCGCUUUAGAAAAUGCGCGUCUCGCUCGCGGCAAGAACGUAUCGCCGAUGUGCAAGACAAAAAAACGUUAUUAUUUUAUGCAUCUGAUUGUCUGCGAAAAAAUUAUCUGAAUGGAUUGAUUGAAAAAAAACUUCUGUUUGCAUAAUUUAUUAUUGAUUUAUAUUUUCAGAUGUGCUGUGCCUCAAUUAUUUUAAAUUGGAAGAAAAUCAUAUUAAUAUUCUAAGAAUUUGCGUAUUCUCUAGAAAUGUUAAAUCGAAUUUAAAUUUCUGAAAAGUAAAUAAAUUCUGAUGACAAGAUUGAAACAUAUAAUAUUUCUGUUCCUCUAAAAGAAAGAAACGUAAAAGCAGGAACGCAGUUGCAUUACAUUAAAAUUUAUCCUUUAUCUUUAUGUUUUUAUAUUAUUGUGCUCUAUAUUAUGAAACAUUUUCAUUUAUAAAUCCGCAGAAUCUUUAUUCUCUCUAUUUCUCAUUUAAUAAUCUGUUUUAUUACAGUUAUAUUUUCUCAGGACGUUUACAAAAAAGUGUUAAAAAGGUCGAUUAAAUAUAUGUACAUCUCUAUCAAUGCGCAUUUACAUUUUUGUUUCAAUGUUCUAAGGUAUUAUAGGGUAAUAAAAUUUCAAAGGGCUGAAACCUAUGUUCGACGAUCCCUACCCGUUUACGCCCACGUGUCUCGUCGUUGUGGUCACAUGUAGACAAUGAUCCCACAUCCAUUAAAAAAAGAAAGAUCGAAAACCGAGCGAGCAAUCUCACCGAAACUCAUGUGGGAGUAUCCCUUUCCGAGGCGCGUAGGGAGUCUCGUAUUACGUAUCCCUUUGUAUGCGUAUGUAAAUCUAUCGGCAAAGGCGUAGAACGGGCGAAAGGGAAGAAAGUGAGAAGAAAGUACGUAUCACCUCGAAAGCUCACGCCCGACGCUCGUAAAACGCUGCAACCUCCUCGUCUUUACUCGUAUUUUCGAAUAAUCCAAUAUUUACGAGUAAAACUUCUCUUCCGAGUGUACUUCUGCGGCCUCGCCAUAACUCCGUUUCUUGCAAAUUUCUCAUUUCCCUGUUAUUAAUUUAUUGCAAUUUAUAUGUAACACUUUUGUUCACUUAGGAAAUGAAAUUAGCGGCAAAUUUAUUUACAUGAAAAUAGAGUCGUGAUAAUUGCGCCGUGAUGAAUGUUACAUUAUAACGAAACGCAAAUGGGAAUAAUGCCAUGUUUUUGCAGCUUUUAGCGACGUUUACGAGCGCGUUAAAAAAUUCUAUAAGUAUGUUAAUUAGCUGUAGUUACGUCCGAAAUGAAGCACACUCUCGUCCAGCAAGAAUAUCAAAAAACAUAAUAUAUGUAAUAUAUUUUUAGAUAUUUUUACUGACAGCAAAUGUAAUUAUGCGUUGGAUAAUAAUGUUUUAUUGUUGUCAGAUACAAUCUCGACGCCACUGCGUUGAAAAAAAAAUAAAUACAUAUAUAUGUGUGCUACAUACGCGUAAAAUUCGGUAUAUGCGUUCGAAAUGCGAACGGUACCCACCCAUAUCCCCCUUUGAAAAUUUCGUAGCCGUAUAUCGUAACAAAUGAUUCUUUAUUGGUCAAACCUCUUUCUCGUGCAAAUUUAUGCCCAUUUUUUAUUCAUCGCUUUUCUUCGCCUUACUCAACUGAAACGAUCGUCCUCCUCAAUACUUCGUAUUUUUAUUAUGGCUAAAUGAUAGGUUUCUUGCGUAUUAGGGAACACACACAUCGCGAUUCCAUCCUUUAAUACUUGCAGUGCAGUCAUAGAACGUAAAGUGCAUGAAAGUAUUCAGUCACAUCAUCGUCACGCAAGUGACAGUGUCAUAAUCGCGUUUAUUUAUGAAACAUUCUUUUCUUAACAUAAAAA